Molecule: non-coding RNA, 780 nt
Filed under: Bryanellocoris orientalis
Lineage: Eukaryota; Metazoa; Arthropoda; Insecta; Hemiptera; Rhyparochromidae
Source: RNAcentral
AAAAUAAUUGAUUUNUGUUAUGGUUAAUUAGCUUUAAUUUGAUAAUUACAUGUAUAUUUUUGUGUGUUACUUUAUUCUCUAAAUGGGUUUAAUUGUUAUAUUUGCAGUUUAUUUUAUUAAUUUUUAAAGGGAUUUAGAUUUAGUUAAUUUUAUUUAAAACUAUAAAAAGUUGUGCCAGCAUAUGCGGUUAUACAUCUAGUUUAAGUUAAUUAUUUUGAUUUAAUAUUUAUAAUUUAAAAAUUGAGUUUAUUUAUUAUUUUAUUGGGUGAAAUUUUAUUUUAUUUUAUUGUUUGGGUUAAUUAUUGAUUAAAUAUGAUCAUUAGGGUUUAAACUAGGAUUAGAUACCCUAUUAUUCUAAUUGUAAUUUUUAUUUUAUUAUUAAUAGUUAUGUUCUUUAAAUUAAAAAAGUUUGGCGGUGAUUUAGUCCUUUCAGAGGAACCUGUUCUGUAAUUAAUAGUCCAUGUUAUAUUUUACUUUAAUUUAUUGUUUGUAUACCUCUGUCAUUGAUUAUCUUAUUAGGGUAUUCUCUUUGAUUAUUAAUAUAUCUUAUGUCAAGUCAAGGUGCAGCUAUAUUAGAGGUUGAAAUGGGUUAUAUUUAAUGUUUAAUAAUAGGAUAAAUUUUUGUUAAUAUUUUUGAAAUUAGAUUUGAAAGUAAAGUUUUAUAUUUAUAAGUCUUGAUUUUGGCUCUAGAUCAUGUACAUAUCGCCCGUCACUCUCAACUUUUCAAAUUGGGAUAAGUCGUAACAAAGUAAUUUUACUGGAAAGUGAGGUUAGAUUUAU